RNAcentral lists this ribosomal RNA (583 nucleotides) under Vibrio splendidus. RNAcentral describes it as "bacterial SSU rRNA". It matches the Rfam family "Bacterial small subunit ribosomal RNA", at positions 45 to 605 of the family's 1533-position model. The record is from RNAcentral. Lineage: Bacteria; Pseudomonadati; Pseudomonadota; Gammaproteobacteria; Vibrionales; Vibrionaceae.
GGCCUAACACAUGCAAGUCGAGCGGAAACGACACUAACAAUCCUUCGGGUGCGUUAAUGGGCGUUCGAGCGGCGGACGGGUGAGUAAUGCCUAGAAAAUUGCCUURAUGUGGGGGAUAACCAUUGGAAACGAUGGCUAAUACCGCAUGAUGCCUACGGGCCAAAGAGGGGGACCUUCGGGCCUCUCGCGUCAAGAUAUGCCUAGGUGGGAUUAGCUAGUUGGUGAGGUAAUGGCUCACCAAGGCGACGAUCCCUAGCUGGUCUGAGAGGAUGAUCAGCCACACUGGAACUGAGACACGGUCCAGACUCCUACGGGAGGCAGCAGUGGGGAAUAUUGCACAAUGGGCGAAAGCCUGAUGCAGCCAUGCCGCGUGUAUGAAGAAGGCCUUCGGGUUGUAAAGUACUUUCAGUUGUGAGGAAGGGUGUGUAGUUAAUAGCAUGYGCAUCUUGACGUUAGCAACAGAAGAAGCACCGGCUAACUCCGUGCCAGCAGCCGCGGUAAUACGGAGGGUGCGAGCGUUAAUCGGAAUUACUGGGCGUUAAGSGCAUGCAGGUGGUUCAUUAAGUCAGAUGUGAAAANCCCC